Molecule: ribosomal RNA, 382 nt
Filed under: uncultured bacterium
Lineage: Bacteria
Description: bacterial SSU rRNA
Rfam family: Bacterial small subunit ribosomal RNA
Source: RNAcentral
CGGCAUGCUUAACACAUGCAAGUCGAACGGUAACGCGGGGGCAACCCUGGCGACGAGUGGCGGACGGGUGAGGAAUGCUUGGGAAUCUGCCUGUUAGUGGGGGACAACCCGGGGAAACCCGGGCUAAUACCGCAUACGCUCUACGGAGGAAAGCGGGGGACCGCAAGGCCUCGCGCUAACAGAUGAGCCCAAGUCGGAUUAGCUAGUUGGUGGGGUAAAGGCCUACCAAGGCAACGAUCCGUAGCUGGUCUGAGAGGACGAUCAGCCACACUGGGACUGAGACACGGCCCAGACUCCUACGGGAGGCAGCAGUGGGGAAUAUUGGACAAUGGGGGAAACCCUGAUCCAGCAAUGCCGCGUGUGUGAAGAAGGCCUGCGGGUU